Molecule: long non-coding RNA, 670 nt
Organism: Anastrepha ludens (Mexican fruit fly)
Lineage: Eukaryota; Metazoa; Arthropoda; Insecta; Diptera; Tephritidae
Exons: 3
Source: RefSeq, a predicted model, not a curated record
GUGAAGUGAAAUAUUGUAUAAAAUGAGGAACGGCUUUUAGAGAAGUAAUUACAUUACCAGUGCACAUGUUUGAAUCUCCGUGCAUGAUAUACCAAAUGAUAGAAAAAGAUUCUUCUAGUAGUGGUGGCCGCUCAGCAGCCAGUGGCAAACCGCCGAGUGUGAUUCUGUCAUGAGAAAAGCUUCUCAUAAAAACCAUUUGCCGUUCGGAGUCGGCUUAAAACUGUAGGUCCCUCCGUUUGAGGAACAACAUCAAGACGCUCGCCACAAAAAAGAGGAGGUGCUCGGCCAAACACCUAACAGAUGUGUCCACGCCGAUUGUUUAUUUUAUUUUUUUAUAUAUAUUUUAUAUAAUUAAUUCAUUAUCACGAAUUUAUUUCAAAUGCAAGUUUUUAAAUAAGCUGUUUUGGAAAUUGAAGUUGUUGGUGUACCAGGUGCCGUUUCUGGGCAUCGUUCCGUUUCUGGCUUUCGGAGAAGAGUAGGUGAUUGGUAUUAAAAUUUGCAAAUUCCCUUAUCAGCCAGGCUGAUAAAUUAUGGCUACGCUAUACGCCAUAGUAUAAGUUAAAUUCAGUCAAAUAAUGUCUGCCAGAGAAUAAUAUAUAUGCGAAAAUCAAAAACUAUAUUUUUGCCUUAAGUUUAAUAAGUUUGCCAACACUGUGAAUUUCGCCUAUAC